Molecule: long non-coding RNA, 357 nt
Filed under: Arachis ipaensis
Lineage: Eukaryota; Viridiplantae; Streptophyta; Magnoliopsida; Fabales; Fabaceae
Description: long non-coding RNA (AIPA_LNC001854)
Source: RNAcentral
UCCCGGGGUCCAUAAAAGAACUCUUUGAGAGCUGGAAGACGAUUCUUAUGAGAAAAGACGAGCGCAAAAUAUGGUUAGUUGAUUUCUUCUCAGUUAUAUGGAACAUCUGGCUGUGUAGGAAUGAACGUAUUUUGUUAGAAUAAGACAACGGCCGUGGUGGAUUGCAUUGCUAGAUCACUCUGUAGUUUGAGGGAUUGGUGUAAAACUAACUCGUGUUGUUGAUGGCUAUGCUGAAGAUGACAUAAGAGUUGCUUUAUCUCUUUAUUUUCUUAUUAUUGUAUGCUCCAACGAGUGUGUUGAGCUUGUUUGUCUUUCAAAAAAAUGUUACUCUUCUGGACAAAAAUGGCAUGACGAGAC